Molecule: ribosomal RNA, 300 nt
Filed under: uncultured bacterium
Lineage: Bacteria
Description: bacterial SSU rRNA
Rfam family: Bacterial small subunit ribosomal RNA
Source: RNAcentral
GGGCUACACACGUGCUACAAUGGCAGAUACAAACCGUCGCGAGACCGCAAGGUGGAGCUAAUCGGGAGAAAGUCUGUCUCAGUUCGGAUUGCAGGCUGCAACUCGCCGUGCAUGAAGUUGGGAAUCGCUAGUAAUCGCGGAUCAGCACGCCGCGGUGGAAUACGUUCCCGGGCCUUUGUACACACCGCCCGUCACAUCACGAAAGCUGGCUGUACUAGAAGUCGCCGCGCUAACCCGCAAGGGAGGGCAAGCGCCUAAGGGUAUGGUUAGUGAUUGGGGGGUGAAGUCGGUAACAAGGUA